This 508-nucleotide ribosomal RNA is filed under the name uncultured bacterium. RNAcentral describes it as "partial 16S ribosomal RNA". It matches the Rfam family "Bacterial small subunit ribosomal RNA", at positions 28 to 523 of the family's 1533-position model. The record is from RNAcentral.
GAUGAACGCUAGCUACAGGCUUAACACAUGCAAGUCGAGGGGAAACGAUAUUGAAAGCUUGCUUCCGAUAGGCGUCGACCGGCGCACGGGUGAGUAACGCGUAUCCAACCUGCCCACCACUUGGGGAUAACCUUGCGAAAGUAAGACUAAUACCCAAUGAUAUCUCUAGAAGACAUCUGAAGGAGAUUAAAGAUUUAUCGGUGAUGGAUGGGGAUGCGUCUGAUUAGCUUGUUGGCGGGGUAACGGCCCACCAAGGCGACGAUCAGUAGGGGUUCUGAGAGGAAGGUCCCCCACAUUGGAACUGAGACACGGUCCAAACUCCUACGGGAGGCAGCAGUGAGGAAUAUUGGUCAAUGGACGAGAGUCUGAACCAGCCAAGUAGCGUGCAGGAUGACGGCCCUAUGGGUUGUAAACUGCUUUUAUAAGGGAAUAAAGUGAGCCUCGUGAGGCUUUUUGCAUGUACCUUAUGAAUAAGGACCGGCUAAUUCCGUGCCAGCAGCCGCGGUAA